This 674-nucleotide unclassified non-coding RNA is filed under the name Luffariella caliculata. Its description in RNAcentral is "sequence contains ITS1, 5.8S rRNA gene, ITS2". The stretch from base 296 to 450 matches the Rfam family "5.8S ribosomal RNA". The record is from RNAcentral. Lineage: Eukaryota; Metazoa; Porifera; Demospongiae; Dictyoceratida; Thorectidae.
CGUAGGUGAACCUGCGGAAGGAUCAUUAACAAAUCCUAGCCGUUGUUGCCUCCGACGGUGGCGACGGUGAAACACCGUGCACUGGAGACCGGAGGAUGGGAGUCCCGGUUCGGUUUACGAGAGGUGUGCAGCCGGCGCAUGCUCGAGCGGGUGCCACACUUAAAUCGAUGGAGAUCAAACGUGACACCGUCCACCGGGCCUCAAACCGAACCAUCCCGCCUUUGGUUUUUUGUCUUUGAACCUGUCGGACUUUUUUUUGUUUUUGGUAGAUUUGUACGUGUGGCAAAAAACUGACAACUUCUGACGGUGGAUCUCUUGGCUCGUGCAUCGAUGAAGAACGCAGCAAGCUGCGAUAUCUAGUGUGAAUUGCAGAAUUCAGUGAAUCAUCGAGUCUUUGAACGCAAAUGGCGCUCCCGGGGUCUCCUCGGGAGCAGGUCUGUCCGAGCGUCUGCCAACCGAAUGGGUCGUCGCCACAUGGUCGACGAGAUUGAGGGGCUGCGGUGAUGCCAUUCUGCCGCACUCCUUGAAGAGAGCCAGCAAUCCGUGCGGUCGAUGUUGGGCCGUGACGGUGUCACGACGAGACGGUCGUCACAGCGGCGCAAAAUGUUGUGCGACCGAUUCUUGUGCGAUGGCCGUCGUGUGUGUCCGCCCGCACCGCAUGGUCUCAGGAAAGC